UGCAGUCGAACGAUGAAGCCCAGCUUGCUGGGUGGAUUAGUGGCGAACGGGUGAGUAACACGUGAGUAACCUGCCCUUAACUCUGGGAUAAGCCUGGGAAACUGGGUCUAAUACCGGAUAGGAGCGUCCACCGCAUGGUGGGUGUUGGAAAGAUUUAUCGGUUUUGGAUGGACUCGCGGCCUAUCAGCUUGUUGGUGAGGUAAUGGCUCACCAAGGCGACGACGGGUAGCCGGCCUGAGAGGGUGACCGGCCACACUGGGACUGAGACACGGCCCAGACUCCUACGGGAGGCAGCAGUGGGGAAUAUUGCACAAUGGGCGCAAGCCUGAUGCAGCGACGCCGCGUGAGGGAUGACGGCCUUCGGGUUGUAAACCUCUUUCAGUAGGGAAGAAGCGAAAGUGACGGUACCUGCAGAAGAAGCACCGGCUAACUACGUGCCAGCAGCCGCGGUAAUACGUAGGGUGCGAGCGUUAUCCGGAAUUAUUGGGCGUAAAGAGCUCGUAGGCGGUUUGUCGCGUCUGUCGUGAAAGUCCGGGGCUUAACCCCGGAUCUGCGGUGGGUACGGGCAGACUAGAGUGCAGUAGGGGAGACUGGAAUUCCUGGUGUAGCGGUGGAAUGCGCAGAUAUCAGGAGGAACACCGAUGGCGAAGGCAGGUCUCUGGGCUGUAACUGACGCUGAGGAGCGAAAGCAUGGGGAGCGAACAGGAUUAGAUACCCUGGUAGUCCAUGCCGUAAACGUUGGGCACUAGGUGUGGGGACCAUUCCACGGUUUCCGCGCCGCAGCUAACGCAUUAAGUGCCCCGCCUGGGGAGUACGGCCGCAAGGCUAAAACUCAAAGGAAUUGACGGGGGCCCGCACAAGCGGCGGAGCAUGCGGAUUAAUUCGAUGCAACGCGAAGAACCUUACCAAGGCUUGACAUGUUCUCGAUCGCCGUAGAGAUACGGUUUCCCCUUUGGGGCGGGUUCACAGGUGGUGCAUGGUUGUCGUCAGCUCGUGUCGUGAGAUGUUGGGUUAAGUCCCGCAACGAGCGCAACCCUCGUUCCAUGUUGCCAGCACGUAAUGGUGGGGACUCAUGGGAGACUGCCGGGGUCAACUCGGAGGAAGGUGAGGACGACGUCAAAUCAUCAUGCCCCUUAUGUCUUGGGCUUC
RNAcentral lists this ribosomal RNA (1149 nucleotides) under bacterium. RNAcentral's name for it is "bacterial SSU rRNA". It matches the Rfam family "Bacterial small subunit ribosomal RNA", at positions 56 to 1217 of the family's 1533-position model. The record is from RNAcentral.